This 501-nucleotide ribosomal RNA is filed under the name uncultured bacterium. RNAcentral describes it as "partial 16S ribosomal RNA". It matches the Rfam family "Bacterial small subunit ribosomal RNA", at positions 29 to 523 of the family's 1533-position model. The record is from RNAcentral.
AUUGAACGCUGGCGGCAUGCCUUACACAUGCAAGUCGAACGGCAGCACGGGUGCUUGCACCUGGUGGCGAGUGGCGAACGGGUGAGUAAUACAUCGGAACGUACCUUAUCGUGGGGGAUAACGCAGCGAAAGCUGUGCUAAUACCGCAUACGCCCUGAGGGGGAAAGCGGGGGAUCGAAAGACCUCGCGCGAUUAGAGCGGCCGAUGCCUGAUUAGCUUGUUGGUGGGGUAAAAGCCCACCAAGGCGACGAUCAGUAGCUGGUCUGAGAGGACGAUCAGCCACACUGGGACGAAGACACGGCCCAGACUCCUACGGGAGGCAGCAGUGGGGAAGUUUGGACAAUGGGGGCAACCCUGAUCCAGCAAUGCCGCGUGAGUGAAGAAGGCCUUCGGGUUGCAAAGCUCUUUUGUCAGGGAAGAAACACCGGCUCUAACACAGUCCGGGAAUGACGGUACCUGAAGAAUAAGCACCGGCUAACUACGUGCCAGCAGCCGCGGUAA